Oncorhynchus tshawytscha (Chinook salmon) is the source of this 874-nucleotide long non-coding RNA. RefSeq lists it as uncharacterized. Lineage: Eukaryota; Metazoa; Chordata; Actinopteri; Salmoniformes; Salmonidae. The transcript is spliced from 2 exons. The record is from RefSeq and is a predicted model, not a curated record.
UCAGGCCUCCUUUAGGCAACGCCAAAGUGGCGUCUUCAAGAUCCACGGCCACUUAUUGGCUGUGUUCUGUUUCUGUUUAAUGGCUGAUCCUCGUGUUUUCAGAAUUUUAUUAGCUCAAGAGACGGGUUUUGCUCUGCAAGAGCAUGUUACAGCUAAGAGAGAGGUGGUUAUGGCUGGAUAAUACUGUAUGUUGGUGAUCUCUAGGUGGUUAUGGCUGGAUAAUACUGUAUGUUGGUGAUCUCUAGGUGGUUAUGGCUGGAUAAUACUGUAUGUUGGUGAUCUCUAGGUGGUUAUGGCUGGAUAAUACUGUAUGUUGGUGAUCUCUAGGUGGUUAUGGCUGGAUAAUACUGUAUGUUGGUGAUCUCUAGGUGGUUAUGGCUGGAUAAUACUGUAUGUUGGUGAUCUCUAGGUGGUUAUGGCUGGAUAAUACUGUAUGUUGGUGAUCUCUAGGUGGUUAUGGCUGGAUAAUACUGUAUGUUGGUGAUCUCUAGGUGGUUAUGGCUGGAUAAUACUGUAUGUUGGUGAUCUCUAGGUGGUUAUGGCUGGAUAAUACUGUAUGUUGGUGAUCUCUAGGUGGUUAUGGCUGGAUAAUACUGUAUGUUGGUGAUCUGUAGGUGGUUAUGGCUGGAUAAUACUGUAUGUUGGUGAUCUCUAGGUGGUUAUGGCUGGAUAAUACUGUAUGUUGGUGAUCUCUAGGUGGUUAUGGCUGGAUAAUACUGUAUGUUGGUGAUCUCUAGGUGGUUAUGGCUGGAUAAUACUGUAUGUUGGUGAUCUCUAGGUGGUUAUGGCUGGAUAAUACUGUAUGUUGGUGAUCUCUAGGUGGUUAUGGCUGGAUAAUACUGUAUGUUGGUGAUCUCUAGGUGGUUAUGGCUGG